Molecule: long non-coding RNA, 581 nt
Organism: Pteropus alecto (black flying fox)
Lineage: Eukaryota; Metazoa; Chordata; Mammalia; Chiroptera; Pteropodidae
Exons: 3
Source: RefSeq, a predicted model, not a curated record
GCCGGGCCCGCCGCCCGGCUCCCUCCCGUCUGCGCCUGGAAGCUGGCCUUGCUGUAGGGCGGUGGCUCCGCCCGGCCCGCGGCCAGCCUCUCCGCCUCUCUGUUUAACGACGAUUCUGCCCUUGAAGUUCAGCGCAGAUAAAAAGGCAGCAUUCGUUUUUAUUUUAGAGAGGAAAAGGAGGGCGGAAAAAAGGGACCGAGGUGCGUGGCGAGGCCUGGGGGAGGCGCGAGAACAGGAGAGGAGGCCGCUGGGACAAGAGGGGCUUUGAGAGCCGAAUUUCCUAUUUGGGUACCAGGCAGGGAAGGUCCCUGUUUCAUAAUUUAAGUUUCAUGAUGGACAUUGUGAUUGAAGACCCAUUUCAUAAUCAAGUUUCUCUGGAUCUUCAAGAUCCUCAGGCAGGAGGCAGGAUGGGAACUGGACUCCUAGAAGGCGUCUCUCUGUAAGGAUGAGCUUUGGGGACGGCGAGACGCGAUAUCCGGUGCCACGUCAGCAGAAGGCGACGAGCAAAUUGGGCGCCCCUCGCCCCUUGUUUAUUUUCCUUCUCCCCAAGAUGGAUUUAGGUGGUGGGGCGUUUUAGGGUU